This 305-nucleotide ribosomal RNA is filed under the name uncultured bacterium. Its description in RNAcentral is "bacterial SSU rRNA". It matches the Rfam family "Bacterial small subunit ribosomal RNA", at positions 22 to 358 of the family's 1533-position model. The record is from RNAcentral.
GCUCAGAACGAAAGCUGGCGGCGUGCUUCACACAUGCAAGUCGAACGAACCUUCGGGUUAGUGGCGGACGGGUGAGUAACGCGUGAGCAUCUGCCCUCAGGAGGGGGAUAACGGUUGGAAACGACCGCUAAUACCCCAUAUGCCGAGAGGUGAAAAGAAAUUCGCCUGAGGAUGAGCUCGCGUCUGAUUAGCUAGUUGGUGUGGUAAUGGCGCACCAAGGCUUCGAUCAGUAGCUGGUCUGAGAGGAUGAUCAGCCACACUGGGACUGAGACACGGCCCAGACUCCUACGGGAGGCAGCAGUGGG